Molecule: small nucleolar RNA, 85 nt
Filed under: Oryza punctata
Lineage: Eukaryota; Viridiplantae; Streptophyta; Magnoliopsida; Poales; Poaceae
Source: RNAcentral
GAGCAGAUGAUGUUAAUACUAACUAGAUCACUGAGAUCUUGGUCUUUGAUGUCUAAAAAAUCGAGCUUUUUAAAACUGAUGCUUA